This 254-nucleotide ribosomal RNA is filed under the name uncultured bacterium. RNAcentral describes it as "partial 16S ribosomal RNA". It matches the Rfam family "Bacterial small subunit ribosomal RNA", at positions 524 to 776 of the family's 1533-position model. The record is from RNAcentral.
UACGUAGGGUGCGAGCGUUGUCCGGAAUUAUUGGGCGUAAAGAGCUCGUAGGCGGUGUGUCACGUCGGCCGUGAAAACCUGCAGCUUAACUGUGGGCGUGCGGUCGAUACGGGCAUCACUGGAGUUCGGCAGGGGAGACUGGAAUUCCUGGUGUAGCGGUGAAAUGCGCAGAUAUCAGGAGGAACACCGGUGGCGAAGGCGGGUCUCUGGACAGCUCCUGACACUGAGGCACGAAGGCCAGGGGAGCAAACGGG